CUGGACGCUAAGUUUCACUAUCUGAAUCUGAGAGCAGAGGAGGAGGAGGAUGUAACUAUUGAGGAGGAUCUGGAAGAGUUGGAGAAGGAUGUUGAGUUCAUGGCCUUGGCUAGGGUUCACACCACGCGCAAAUUCAUUCAUGGCGCAUUCUACGGAACCAUGCAUUCUGCUUGGAACUUAGCACAAGAAGUGGAGUUCAGGGUAAUUGAGGACAACCUAUUUUCAGUGCAGAUGACUUGUCUUGCAGAUUGGGAACUGGUGAUGAAUGAUUGUCCAUGGAUAUUCAAAAACUGCCCGGUCUUAAUGGCGAGUUAUGAUGGAUGGUCUGAACCUAAGGAUACUGAACUUUAUACUUAUCAAGCUUGGGUUCGUGUCAUGGGUUUGAAGGAGAAAAUGCGGCCAGGAAGCAUCGCCUCACAACUGGCGAGGAAAGUAGGUGGUGUGGAACAUGUGGAUGAGCGAUCUAAUAAAGGACAGGGUGGAGGCAUCCGGGUUAGGGUGACGCAUGAUGUACGUUAUCCACUGUUGAGAUGCGCGAGCCUAACUCUGAGAAAGAAAAAGGUCUACUUUGAUUUUGUGUAUGAGAAGAUGUUGUGCUUUUGUGGUGUGUGUGGCCUUGUGGGGCAUGUGGCGAAGGAGCAUGGGAAAGGAGUGCAUGAUGCUAGUGUCAUUGUUUAUCUCCCCUCGUUGAUAGCUGCUGAAUUUAGAAGGGAGGAGCAAUGGCAGAGCGUUGGAGGUGAAGGCAGCAGGGGGUUCGUGGUGGCAGAGGGAGAGGUGUGGGAGGGGGGCGGGGGGAUUUGGGGCCCAUAA
Molecule: ribosomal RNA, 810 nt
Filed under: Triticum aestivum (bread wheat)
Lineage: Eukaryota; Viridiplantae; Streptophyta; Magnoliopsida; Poales; Poaceae
Description: partial small subunit ribosomal RNA
Source: RNAcentral